UAAUACAGAGGGGGCAAGCGUUAUUCGGAAUUAUUGGGCGUAAAGGGCGCGUAGGCGGCCUGACAAGUGGAAGGUGAAAUCCCUCGGCUUAACCGAGGAACUGCCCUCCAAACUGUUUGGCUUGAGUCCGGGAGAGGUGAGUGGAAUUCCCAGUGUAGCGGUGAAAUGCGUAGAUAUUGGGAGGAACACCAGUGGCGAAGGCGGCUCACUGGACCGGAACUGACGCUGAUGCGCGAAAGCGUGGGGAGCAAACGGGAUUAGAUACCCCGGUAGUCCACGCCGUAAACGAUGAGUGCUUGGUGUAGCGGGUAUCGACCCCUGCUGUGCCGAAGUCAACACAUUAAGCACUCCGCCUGGGGAGUACGGUCGCAAGGCUG
This 377-nucleotide ribosomal RNA is filed under the name uncultured bacterium. RNAcentral's name for it is "bacterial SSU rRNA". It matches the Rfam family "Bacterial small subunit ribosomal RNA", at positions 521 to 896 of the family's 1533-position model. The record is from RNAcentral.